This 87-nucleotide transfer RNA is filed under the name marine sediment metagenome. It matches the Rfam family "tRNA". Rfam says of the family: Transfer RNA (tRNA) molecules are approximately 80 nucleotides in length. Their secondary structure includes four short double-helical elements and three loops (D, anti-codon, and T loops). The record is from RNAcentral.
GCCCCCGUGGUGUAGUCCGGUUAAGCAUCCAGGCCUCUCGAGCCUGAGACCCGGGUUCAAAACCCUGUGAAAAUCCCGGCGGGGGCG